GAUGAACGCUGGCGGCAUGCUUUACACAUGCAAGUCGGACGGGAAGUGGUGUUUCCAGUGGCGGACGGGCGAGUAACGCGUAAGAACCUGCCCUUGGGAGGGGAACAACAGCUGGAAACGGCUGCUAAUACCCCGUAGGCUGAGGAGCGAAAGGAGGAAUCCGCCCAAGGAGGGGCUCGCGUCUGAUUAGCUAGUUGGUGAGGUAAUAGCUUACCAAGGCCGUGAUCAGUAGCUGGUCCGAGAGGAUGAUCAGCCACACUGGGACUGAGACAAGGCCCAGACUCCUACGGGAGGCAGCAGUGGGGAAUUUUCCGCAAUGGGCGAAAGCCUGACGGAGCAAUGCCGCGUGGAGGUAAAAGGCCUACGGGUCAUGAACUUCUUUUCCUGGAGAAGAAACAAUGACGGUAUCUGGGGAAUAAGCAUCGGCUAACUCUGUG
This 437-nucleotide ribosomal RNA is filed under the name uncultured bacterium. RNAcentral describes it as "partial 16S ribosomal RNA". It matches the Rfam family "Bacterial small subunit ribosomal RNA", at positions 28 to 507 of the family's 1533-position model. The record is from RNAcentral.